GGUAGCACAGAGAGCUUGCUCUCGGGUGACGAGUGGCGGACGGGUGAGUAAUGUCUGGGAAACUGCCUGAUGGAGGGGGAUAACUACUGGAAACGGUAGCUAAUACCGCAUAACGUCGCAAGACCAAAGAGGGGGACCUUCGGGCCUCUUGCCAUCAGAUGUGCCCAGAUGGGAUUAGCUAGUAGGUGGGGUAACGGCUCACCUAGGCGACGAUCCCUAGCUGGUCUGAGAGGAUGACCAGCCACACUGGAACUGAGACACGGUCCAGACUCCUACGGGAGGCAGCAGUGGGGAAUAUUGCACAAUGGGCGCAAGCCUGAUGCAGCCAUGCCGCGUGUAUGAAGAAGGCCUUCGGGUUGUAAAGUACUUUCAGCGGGGAGGAAGGUGUUGCGGUUAAUAACCGCAACAAUUGACGUCACCCGCAGAAGAAGCACCGGCUAACUCCGUGCCAGCAGCCGCGGUAAUACGGAGGGUGCAAGCGUUAAUCGGAAUUACUGGGCGUAAAGCGCACGCAGGCGGUCUGUCAAGUCGGAUGUGAAAUCCCCGGGCUCAACCUGGGAACUGCAUUCGAAACUGGCAGGCUAGAGUCUUGUAGAGGGGGGUAGAAUUCCAGGUGUAGCGGUGAAAUGCGUAGAGAUCUGGAGGAAUACCGGUGGCGAAGGCGGCCCCCUGGACAAAGACUGACGCU
RNAcentral lists this ribosomal RNA (688 nucleotides) under uncultured Enterobacterales bacterium. Its description in RNAcentral is "bacterial SSU rRNA". It matches the Rfam family "Bacterial small subunit ribosomal RNA", at positions 68 to 747 of the family's 1533-position model. The record is from RNAcentral. Lineage: Bacteria; Pseudomonadati; Pseudomonadota; Gammaproteobacteria; Enterobacterales.